RNAcentral lists this ribosomal RNA (559 nucleotides) under uncultured Glomus. Its description in RNAcentral is "SSU rRNA". It matches the Rfam family "Eukaryotic small subunit ribosomal RNA", at positions 546 to 1106 of the family's 1831-position model. The record is from RNAcentral. Lineage: Eukaryota; Fungi; Glomeromycota; Glomeromycetes; Glomerales; Glomeraceae.
AAUUGGAGGGCAAGUCUGGUGCCAGCAGCCGCGGUAAUUCCAGCUCCAAUAGCGUAUAUUAAAGUUGUUGCAGUUAAAAAGCUCGUAGUUGAAUUUCGGGACUGACAGGUUGGUCGCGCCUUCGGUGUGUACUGGCCUAGUCGGUUUCUCCCUUCUGACGAACCACGAUGUCAUUAAUUUGGUGUCGUGGGGAAUCAGGACUGUUACUUUGAAAAAAUUAGAGUGUUUAAAGCAGGCUUAGGCUUGAAUACAUUAGCAUGGAAUAAUGAAAUAGGACGUUUGAUCCUAUUUUGUUGGUUUCUAGGAUUGACGUAAUGAUUAAUAGGGAUAGUUGGGGGCAUUAGUAUUCAAUUGUCAGAGGUGAAAUUCUUGGAUUUAUUGAAGACUAACUACUGCGAAAGCAUUUGCCAAGGAUGUUUUCAUUAAUCAAGAACGAAAGUUAGGGGAUCGAAGACGAUCAGAUACCGUCGUAGUCUUAACCAUAAACUAUGCCGACUAGGGAUCGGAUGAUGUUAAUUUUUUAAUGACUCAUUCGGCGCCUUACGGGAAACCAAAGUGU